Molecule: ribosomal RNA, 688 nt
Filed under: Leucoagaricus rubroconfusus
Lineage: Eukaryota; Fungi; Basidiomycota; Agaricomycetes; Agaricales; Agaricaceae
Description: eukaryotic LSU rRNA
Rfam family: 5.8S ribosomal RNA (bases 299-452)
Source: RNAcentral
GUGAACCUGCGGAAGGAUCAUUAUUGAAUACUGCUCGAUGGGUUGUAGCUGGCUUUUUGGAGCAUGUGCACACCUGUCUUGAUACUAUUCAUCCACCUGUGAAUCAUUUGUAGUCUCUGAGGGCUGAGAUCGGCAGUUGACCCAUCAGUUGAAAAACUGGAUCAGAGGAUUGUGAGCAUAAAAGUGCAACUCUCUUCAGCAACUGACCAGUGAUCUCCCUUUGAUUCUAUGUUUCAUAAACUAUAUUGUAUGUUAAAGAAUGUAAUCAAUAGGCCUUUGUGUCUAUAGAACCUUAUACAACUUUCAGCAACGGAUCUCUUGGCUCUCGCAUCGAUGAAGAACGCAGCGAAAUGCGAUAAGUAAUGUGAAUUGCAGAAUUCAGUGAAUCAUCGAAUCUUUGAACGCACCUUGCGCUCCUUGGUAUUCCGAGGAGCAUGCCUGUUUGAGUGUCAGUAAAUUCUCAAUCCCAUCUAGCUUUUGCAGUUGGGACUUGGAUAGUGGAGGUAUUUGCAGGCCCUCGUCGAGGUGUCAGCUCCUCUGAAAUGCAUUAGCGGAACUGUUUGUGAUCCAUGACAUGUGUGAUAAUUAUCUACAUCCAGUGGGUUGCUCUCUGAAUGUUCAGCUGCUAACAGUCUCCUCUGUGGGACAAUUUCUGAACCUUUGACCUCAAAUCAGGUAGGACUACCCG